Triticum aestivum (bread wheat) is the source of this 135-nucleotide non-coding RNA. The record is from Rfam. NCBI's taxonomy places the organism in Eukaryota, Viridiplantae, Streptophyta, Magnoliopsida, Poales, Poaceae.
CAAAUACUCCCUCCGUCAGGAAAUACUUGUCAUCAAAAUGGAUAAAAGGAAAUGUAUCUAGACGUAUUUUAGUUUUAGAUACAUCUCUUUUUAUCCAUUUUGAUGACAAGUAUUUUCGGACGGAGGGAGUAGAAA